RNAcentral lists this ribosomal RNA (465 nucleotides) under uncultured bacterium. RNAcentral's name for it is "partial 16S ribosomal RNA". It matches the Rfam family "Bacterial small subunit ribosomal RNA", at positions 28 to 507 of the family's 1533-position model. The record is from RNAcentral.
GACGAACGCUGGCGGCGUGCUUAACACAUGCAAGUCGAACGGAAAGGCCCUGCUUGCAGGGUACUCGAGUGGCGAACGGGUGAGUAACACGUGGGUGAUCUGCCCUGCACUUCGGGAUAAGCCUGGGAAACUGGGUCUAAUACCGGAUAGGAGCCAUUUUUAGUGUGAUGGUUGGAAAGUUUUUUCGGUGUAGGAUGAGCUCGCGGCCUAUCAGCUUGUUGGUGGGGUAAUGGCCUACCAAGGCGGCGACGGGUAGCCGGCCUGAGAGGGUGGACGGCCACAUUGGGACUGAGAGACGGCCCAGACGCCUACGGGAGGCAGCAGUGGGGAAUAUUGCACAAUGGGCGCAAGCCUGAUGCAGCGACGCCGCGUGGGGGAGGACGGGCUUCGGGUUGUAAACUCCUUUCGCUAGGGACGAAGCUUUUUGUGACGGUACCUAGAUAAGAAGCACCGGCUAACUACGUG